Molecule: ribosomal RNA, 331 nt
Filed under: uncultured bacterium
Lineage: Bacteria
Description: partial 16S ribosomal RNA
Rfam family: Bacterial small subunit ribosomal RNA
Source: RNAcentral
CCUACGGGAGGCAGCAGUAGGGAAUAUUGCUCAAUGGGGGAAACCCUGAAGCAGCAACGCCGCGUGAGGGAUGAAGGUUUUCGGAUUGUAAACUCCUUUUGUUAGGGAAGAUAAUGACGGUAUCUAACGAAUAAGCACCGGCUAACUCCGUGCCAGCAGCCGCGGUAAUACGGAGGGUGCAAGCGUUACUCGGAAUCACUGGGCGGAAAGAGCGCGUAGGCGGGAUAGCAAGUCAGAUGGGAAAUCCUAUGGCUUAAACAUAGAACUGCAUUUGAAACUGUUAUUCUAAGGUUGGGGAGAGGGAAGUGGGAUUCCUGGUGGAGGGGGAAAA